The sequence is a transfer RNA, 65 nucleotides long. It matches the Rfam family "tRNA", at positions 12 to 71 of the family's 71-position model. Rfam says of the family: Transfer RNA (tRNA) molecules are approximately 80 nucleotides in length. Their secondary structure includes four short double-helical elements and three loops (D, anti-codon, and T loops).
UCAGCUGGGAGAGCGCCUGCCUUGCACGCAGGAGGUCACCGGUUCGAUCCCGGUAGGCUCCACCA